This is a long non-coding RNA of Ostrea edulis (European flat oyster), 2705 nucleotides long. RefSeq lists it as uncharacterized. The record is from RefSeq and is a predicted model, not a curated record. The transcript is spliced from 3 exons. Lineage: Eukaryota; Metazoa; Mollusca; Bivalvia; Ostreida; Ostreidae.
AGACCGAUAGCAACCACGUGAUCAGUAAAAAUCGUGUAUUUUCACGUGAAAUUAUUUUUCGGAAUUCCGUACAUCGCCAUAGAGUAGUUGAAAAACAAAAAGGGGUUCCGAAAGUACAAGUUCCUGUGACUGAAUCGAUGAUUGAGAGGGUCGUCUCGACGAAAGAUAUAGAAAUUUGGCCAUAGUUUAGAUUAGGAAUACGUCAAUGUAAUAAUAGUGGACUACAUGUUUCGUCCGUGCAGAAUGGCACUUUUUACCUCACGAAAUUCACCACCAUGCAUAGCUGCGCUACGUAAACAAAGUUGUUGAUGUAGCGUGAUCGUGGUGUCCGAGUGCUGCGAGUUUCAAUACUGUUUAUGUAGUCAUUGAGAGUUUAAACAAAGUUUCUUCUGAGAAGAGGAAUUCGAUGGAUGCAUUCAACGUGGACAACGAAAUCAUAAUUUCGUUUGCAUCAUCCUAAGGACCAGUGCAAGUUGAAAUGGGCUUCCAGCCAACAACUUCAACAGCAAUUUGCCAUGAAAAUCAGCAAGAAAGGUACUUCAUUUACAUUGAUGAUGUCAUAUCCCCUGGACCCCACAACUUCACAGGUUACAGAGAAAAUUCAAGAACUUCUGCAAAAUGUGGGACUUGGAUAGAAUCAAUAAUGUAUUUGUGAGCCCAGAGCAAUGGAUAUAUUGUGCAACAUACUAAAGUGUGAAUUUAAUGGAAAACAAGUACAUGUACUCAUGUAUUACAUGUCUUUUUUAAAGACAAUAAUAUUGUAUAAAUAUAGAGGAAGUGUCAUUGUUGAUUAUUCUAAGUUUUUGAUAUAUCAAAAUCAGUAAACAUUUCUAAAUGAAAAUAAAAUACCAAUUUUAUAACUUUAAUCAAUGUGUUUGAAUUUCUCAUUUUCUAACCCCCCCCCCCCCCCCCCCCCCCGUUACACACACUCAGUGCAUAUAUACUGCCAAACGCUCAGCAUCAGGUGUGAAUGUCACUGGUCCUCGGAGAUGACCAUCAAAACGGAUGCCCAGUGUCACAGUAGAUGUGGCACGCUAAAGAACCCUCACUGCUCAAUGGCCGUAAGCGCCGAGCAAAGGCCUAAAUUUAAAGCCGUUCACCGGUCUUGGUAACGUCUCCAUAUGAGUAAAAAAUUCUCGAGAGAGACGUUAAACAAGAUACAAUCAAUCCAUGGGUCGAUUGGGUGGAAAUCUUUCCAUUGAUAUUAAAUAUAAAGUUGUUAUUUAAACAUAUUUGGUGCACUAUGCUGUAUAAUCAUAUCAAUUUCUUAUAAUAGGUAAUCGUGUCUGGUUAUUAUAAAAAAAAUGUAUGAAAAAUAACUAAAUAUUAAUGCAAUCAUUGUGAGUGCAAAAAGGUCAAUCGCAAGAGCACAUACAUAAAUGCAUUGGCGGAUAUAGUGGGUGGGGUGGGGGGCAACCGGCGCGAGCCCCCCUAAAAUUUUCAAGUUUAAAGUAAAUCGUGGUCUCUUGUUUAGAGAAAUAUAUACGAUAAAAGAAUCCAUAAUUUCCUCCACUCUCAGAGAAAUAAAUGUCUGACAAAAUCUUUUGAUUUAUUGAAUUACUUUUAGUGGGAGAACGGCUACUUUUUCCAAAAACCCUUAAAAUUUGCGUUAUUUUAUUAAUUUCACCUUAUUAAAAAUGACAGAAAAUAAUAAAAAUGACUACAUAGGAGACAUAUUUUAAGCCCUAAAAAAUCUGUAAAAUCCAGGAGUUUCUGGGGAAUCGCACCCCCCCCCCCCCCUUUCAAGGCGGCCCCCAGACCCCUGCCUCAUACAGUUGCACCCCCCUCCCAACUUCAAUUCCUGAUCCGCCCCUGAAAUAGCUUAUAGAAACCUUCUUAUUGUCAUGUUCAAUUUUCAAAGAGGUAAUUUGGGAAUGCUUAAACAUUCUAAGUUAUAAAAAGGUCAGUAGUUUAUCUCUGCUGGCUGAAUCUUUCUUCUCAAUGCACCGAGUGCAUAUUCAUGACGUCUAUGUUCCUGCUCAUUCUUUCUCCUCCAUACCAUGCAGUAUAUUAAAGGGGUUGGGAUGUAAUGGAGACAUUUGUUUUAACAAAUAUAAAUUGUAUUUCAAUUUUUUGUGGGGAUUUUUAUUUGAGAAAACUCUUAAUAUUAAUCAUCAAAUAUGAUGACGUAUGAUAAAUCUAUAUUCUGAGUGUAAGUGCACAAAGGUCAACAACGAGAACUACAACAAAAUAUAAGCUAAAAUUUGAAAUACAUACUUUCUGUAUUAUAUUUAUUAAUUUAAAAAAGGUAUUACAAAGAAUCUUCGAAUUUCAGCAAGCUGUUUUUGAUGGAUUGUUUACAACAUCUUUUAAUAACCCUUUUUCUUACGAAAAUGUGUAGUUUGUUAAAAUGGGGUGGGGUUAGGAAUUUUUUGCUAGUUCCAUAUUGAACCCCAUUAUGGUGUAUAAUUUUUUUCAUAUAUUUUACUUACUAAUAGACUGACCACUUAAUGAAAUAAAAUAAGAAAUUUGAUGGGUAAUUUUUUUGCAGCUUAAGCAAAGGUAUGACCCUGUGUGCAAAUAUUGUGCACUGUUUUAAGGUAAUUGGCCAAUGUAGCUCUGUUGAAGUAAUGUUGUUGCAUGUUAAUAAUGAUUGCUGAACUUGAAAUUGAUGUGUAAUAUACAAUUAUGUGAAAGGUUGUUUGGAACCAUAUAUGACAAGUUAUGAUCCUUUUUACAAUAAAAAUGUUAUAGCUCUAUUUGUA